RNAcentral lists this ribosomal RNA (465 nucleotides) under uncultured bacterium. Its description in RNAcentral is "partial 16S ribosomal RNA". It matches the Rfam family "Bacterial small subunit ribosomal RNA", at positions 28 to 507 of the family's 1533-position model. The record is from RNAcentral.
GAUGAACGCUGGCGGCGUGCUUAACACAUGCAAGUCGAACGGAAAGGCUCCUGCUUGCAGGGGUACUCGAGUGGCGAACGGGUGAGUAACACGUGGGUGAUCUGCCCUGCACUUCGGGAUAAGCCUGGGAAACUGGGUCUAAUACCGGAUAGGACGAUGGUUUGGAUGCCAUUGUGGAAAGUUUUUCGGUGUGGGAUGAGCUCGCGGCCUAUCAGCUUGUUGGUGGGGUAAUGGCCUACCAAGGCGUCGACGGGUAGCCGGCCUGAGAGGGUGUACGGCCACAUUGGGACUGAGAUACGGCCCAGACUCCUACGGGAGGAAGCAGUGGGGAAUAUUGCACAAUGGGCGCAAGCCUGAUGCAGCGACGCCGCGUGGGGGAUGACGGCCUUCGGGUUGUAAACUCCUUUCGCUAGGGACGAAGCGCAAGUGACGGUACCUGGAGAAGAAGCACCGGCUAACUACGUG